This 3180-nucleotide unclassified non-coding RNA is filed under the name Hevea brasiliensis (rubber tree). The record is from RNAcentral. Lineage: Eukaryota; Viridiplantae; Streptophyta; Magnoliopsida; Malpighiales; Euphorbiaceae.
UUUUUUUUUUUUUUAAUUUUUUCUGUGCAAUUCUGUGAAAUAAUGGCUCUAUUUUGAACAAAAAAGUCAAGCAGUAACGUAUGUCAAAAAUAGCUAAAAACUUGAUUAUACUGUUCUCUCAUAUUUCUAGACUUAAUCCCAUCAUUUACAUUUUGAUCAAGUCAAGAAUCCAUUCUUUCCAAAACAAAUACAAAAUCAAAUCAAUCAUCCCUCAUAUUUGGAGCUUCAUAACUGCAAAAUGUUUCAACAGAACAAGUAGAUAAAAUCUUGGCUUUCAAGAAACAGCAAAGACAUACACUUUUAUAAUGUAACCAAAUUUAAGCAGUGAAGAAGAAUAUAGAUUCCAAACUCUUUCAAUUUAUGCAUCUCGUUGUCUACGCCCUUUCUUUCCAAUCUUCUUAAAUAUAAACCCAAACCAUUUGGUUAAUAAAUCAAUGGUAGAUCAACAUUCAAGCUGUGCAAGAAAAGGCUUUUCCCUCUUUUUUUUAUUUUUUUUUAAUACAAGGGCAGAAUUGGUAUAAAAGUAAAUUCAUUAAUUAGGCUGUGGCAAUAGCACCAUCCAUGCAUAAAAGAUUGACAUAUCUUUUGGUGAGAAGUAGUGAAGCAAAAAAUAAGAGUAAAACUCCAGUAAAGUAACCAAUCCAGAAUACAGCAAAGGAAUCGAAACAAAGAAGAUAUACUUGAUCUCGAGGAAACAAGACUGUGAUAGACCUAAAACGAAAGAAAGAUUGAACCAUUCUAUUAACCCAUAAAACUGAUCCAACAAAUGAUUUGAAAAUAUACAACCAGAGAUCAUUUUUCUUCAGCACCAAAAAUAUGAAACAAGUCUAGAGUUACCAGCAAACAAAUUCAUUUAUUAAGCAACAAUUAGAAUUUGACAUUAACAUCAACCAUCAACAGAGUCCAAAUAACCAGUCAUAAAGUUUUGCUAUACUUUUAAGUAGAGAAACUAAUGCAACUACUACAUAUCUAUGGAAUGUGAAUUCUCUUUUACAAACAGGAAAUCCACACAAAAGUUUGACUUCUUGUCAUGCAACAGUAAUGUUGAUGCUAUUUCCAAGUAGAAGAAUGGAAAGAUAAGCAAAUGCUAUGAACUGAAUAAAAUCAGCAAUAAUGAAAUUAUUGGAAAGUUUAGUGCAUUGUAAAAUUAUCUAAGAACCCUUCACCAUGACCACACAAAAGCUAUAAAACAUAAAAAUGAAAGAAAGAAGAAAAAGUUAUAGCAUAGAUGCAACUCACAAAUUCUUGAUAUUUCAAGGGGUAGCAAUUGAUCAUCUUAAUCAGACUAUCCAUGUAGCAAUAUUCCGAUGUUCAAAGAGUAAAUAAUGUGACCGGAGUUGAACAAUUAAAUGUAAGUCCAUCAUAUGCUUCACUCAUAUCACCCACCAACACUUGUGCCACUUUCACUAUUUCCAUUCUCAUAGUAUUCAUCAAAAUCUUCCUCAGAUGAAGCAACAAUAUCAUGGUCAAGUCCAUUGUCUAAACUGUUAAGAAUUGGAAUAAUCCAAUUUCCACCUGUUGUACCUCUAGCAUGUGCUGUAGAAACCAAACUGUCACUUUCCUUCUUAACUUCCUCUUGAGGUUGCAACUCUCUUGUAUUUCGAGAACCAAGUAAGACAAGGUCUAACAUUUUCCUCCGAACAAUAGAAAUGGAGUUUGGUGAAAUCAAGCACCCCUUGACAUAUGCUUCUCUAAGAAACACAGUAUGUGCACUUCCCUUUGUUGAUAUAUAGAAAAUUCCAGGAUGUUUCAAAAGCAAUUCUCUCACAUUUACUUCCAUACCAAAAUCCUUUCUAAAAUGUGCCAAUCUUUCAACCUCAACCAUCUUCUCCACAGUUAAGCUCAAGAACUCAUGAAUUAUUGCAACUGCCUGCUUCUCAUACCGCUCUACCCCUCCACGAGUACGCACCUUAAAAACGUCCUUUGUUUCAUAGGGUUUCAGAUAAGGAAGCCUUUGCCAAUUCUUCAUUUUCUCUUUCAUCCCUCCCUCAAUCUUAAACCCUGUGGGAUAAUUAAUGAGAAAGGCAAAUUUAAUCUCAAACUCACUCAACCACUUCUCCCUAUAUUCCUUCUCUCUCCAUUUCUCAAUUUCAGCCAGUCCCAAAUCCUCAGCUUGGUCAACUAGUUCCACUACUUCCAAAUCAACUAACCUAAAAUGAUCUUUAUACUUACCUAAAAUCGAGUCCCUAAAAUCUUCUGGCAGACCCAAUUCUCUCCUAAUCAACCUCAAAGCAUGAACGUGAAGAAUUCCACUUCUGGAAAUCAACAACAACUUCUUUAUUCUCCUCACAGAUUCCAAUUCACACUCCUUAAUAAUAUUCUCUUCUUCACCAAUCAAAUCACUCAUUUUCUUUGUGAUUCUACAACAUAGAUUCCUCCUAACAUGGUGCAUGAAUACCUCAAACACGUGAGGGUAUUUCUGGACAAAUGCACCCACACUCAAGUUCAAUCCGAUAAUGUUUUUCCAACGGGACAUCAAUUGCACAGAUACAUAAGGGCCGCGUUUUCUACUGGACAUAAGCUCGUGAAUUUUGAGGAUGGUUUUGAGUUUCUUGAGGUGAGUAGUGAGUUUGUCCAGUUUAGAGUCUCUAGUUCGGUUCUCCAAGCGGGUUUGGGCAGUAUCUGCUGGUUUUCUCCAUCUUUUUUGAACAAAUGAGUUGAACGGACCAAAUGGGAUUUUGGGUGAGCUUCUACUCAGUGGAUUAGAAUGGGUUCUGACUUGAAGUAUUAUUUGGAAGCGAAAAUUUUCCAACAGAAUCAUAUUCUUUGAUUAAACCCUCACCAAAAAUGUUGAGGUUUAUUGAUUUGAAUCAUAAUAUCUACUUGACACCAAAAAUUCAACGGGAAUACAAAUUAGAACAGAAAUUAAUGAAAUACCAGCAAAUAACUUACUUUGGCAAGUUGCAUCCCAUCACCACCAGCAGUCUCUCUCCCUUGUCUAUCCCAUUCUUUGAUAAUGAUUCCCACAAUAGAAACGAAAGCAUUAAACUACAUGAAGAAUCAGACCAAGAAGCGAUGCAAGCAAAAACCAUCAAGAAGAAUUGCUUACAUUCCCUUCAAAAAAAAAAAACCUUUACAGAAUAACAGUGAUAGAAGAUCAUGGAUUUUGGCGACAAUGGGCGGGUGGAGGCGAUCCAAGCCAUGAAAACGGCUUCUUUAAACAAGGAGAGGAAUUAUAAU